UAGGGAAUCUUCCGCAAUGGACGCAAGUCUGACGGAGCAACGCCGCGUGAGUGAAGAAGGAUUUCGGUUCGUAAAACUCUUUUGUUAGAGAAGAACAGCGCAUAGAGUAACUGUUAUGCGUGUGACGGUAUCUAACCAGAAAGCCACGGCUAACUACGUGCCAGCAGCCGCGGUAAUACGUAGGUGGCAAGCGUUGUCCGGAUUUAUUGGGCGUAAAGCGAGCGCAGGCGGUCAAUUAAGUCUGAUGUGAGAGCCCCCGGCUCAACCGGGGGGGGUCAUUGGAAACUGGUUGACUUGAGUGCAGAAGAGGGGAGUGGAAUUCCAUGUGUAGGGGUGAAAUGCGUAGGUAUAUGGAGGAAAACCAGUGGCGAAGGCGACUCUCUGGUCUGUAACUGACGCUGAGGCUCGAAAGCGUGGGUAACAAACAGG
RNAcentral lists this ribosomal RNA (429 nucleotides) under Bacteroidota bacterium. RNAcentral's name for it is "Bacteroidetes bacterium partial 16S ribosomal RNA". It matches the Rfam family "Bacterial small subunit ribosomal RNA", at positions 355 to 776 of the family's 1533-position model. The record is from RNAcentral. Lineage: Bacteria; Pseudomonadati; Bacteroidota.